UUUGCUUGCGCAACAACUGCCACCCUGCUUACCUCUUCAGUCGUUUGCUUAGGCUUAUGGCCUAUGCAGAUUGUGGGUUUCAUGUGCUGCCUACCUAAUUCAUGGUAUUGUCCCGAUCGAUGAAAGUUGCUUUCGUCUUGUGUCAUUCACAUGGCAUCAGAUGAACCUUGAAGCUGACUCUUUGAACCACACCAUUAACGCUCGCGUUGUUGUUGUGGCCCAUUGAGCAGUGCUUGUUAUCUUGGAUACGGAACCUGAUGUGGGCAUGGAGUCUCAUGGGACCCUUGUUAUGCCCUUGUUGUAGCGUUCGCGUUUCUCUUAAUAUGACUGCCUAGCCCGAAUUGGCUCGUACCACCGGGUGGGUUACGUCAAAGAGGAAUGC
RNAcentral lists this unclassified non-coding RNA (382 nucleotides) under Chromolepis heterophylla. RNAcentral describes it as "partial 3' external transcribed spacer". The record is from RNAcentral. Lineage: Eukaryota; Viridiplantae; Streptophyta; Magnoliopsida; Asterales; Asteraceae.